Molecule: RNA transcript, 3472 nt
Organism: Dermacentor andersoni
Lineage: Eukaryota; Metazoa; Arthropoda; Arachnida; Ixodida; Ixodidae
Source: RefSeq, a predicted model, not a curated record
UAUCGCAGGAGUGAAGCUGCCGGUUCACUCUUCAAAGCGUCGUUUUACUCUCGCAAAAUGUCGAGGAGAGUGAAAUGCAUUGUUCACUCUGUCACCAAGGAGAGAGUGAAAUGUGCUUUUCACUCUCCCCUUCAGAGAGAGAGAGUGAAAAGACUCUUGCGACAAUAGAAAAGAGAGACUCUUGCGGCAAUAGAAAACAAAACGUAGCGUAAUCUUCUGCUUCAACUGUAGGUGGCUGGCCCCGAACAUGGCAAUGUAUCAUUCGUGCACGCUGAGCAAAGAACACAUCGUUUUGCUUCUAAGAGAACAGGCCGCCGCAGUUCAAAGGAACGCGUAGCGAGCGCUCUACUUUUUCACUCGGAGUGGCUCCACCGCGCGCGCGCGCGCUCAAGAUCGCGGAACAACACAGCACUGGAGAAAGUAGAUCCAUCCAGCGAGCAAAGGCCAGCCGAGGGAGAUCGUGUGGCAGCCAUCUCGCGUCGCCACGAAAACACGACAGUCGUUCGUCAUGCCUUGGAUAUAACAACAAAUCCUCCACGGCACCCGCUUUAUAUAACGCAAGAAGGCAGCUGCAAGGACACGAGGAUGUGAAAGAGCCAGUGCAGCGCGACUUCACGUAGUGUAGAGGAGCCAAUGCCAAAAAAUCAAAAUACAUUGGCAUGUUAUUUGGACAAGAAAACUAGGACAACCCAGGACGUGCAUUUCUCAGCACCCAGUCAACUGCGAAAAGUGACUCAAACACAGGCCACCACACCAUUGGAACUGGUGGCUGCGUUUUCAGAAGGAGAAGUGCACUUGACACUGUAUAUGUAUGUGUGAAUUCGGUUUUCUUUGUAUGUGUCGGCUCACUGACAAACAGUGCAAAAAUCUGUUGUACCACGAGCCUGACGACGCCUUCUGCUGCUAGAAAUGCGGCACUUCGUAUUUUAUAGUACUGCAUGACAUUUAAAUCAAAGCUACCACAUAAAAUGAUCAAGGAAACUAACCGCUGUUAUAGCUGUUUUCCUCAAAGAACGCUUGUCCUUUAUGGGCUGUGUUAAUCUGAGCUCUCCACCGAUGUUUCAGUAAUAUUAUCCCUUAGUGAGUGAGAGAUUGGGGGCAAUUAAUCGUGUUAGUGUUUAAGUGGUGUCCUAAUUAUGUGCAUUUGUUCCAACAAAGUUGUCUAGAUUACUUUAUUGUGUAGUGUAAAGCUUAUGAAACCAUCAGCAACUACUGAGUUGCUAACACGCAUAUGGAUUUGUCACUAUACAGGUGGAACUCUGCUGUACCACUGCAGUGCUGCGGAAAUUGCCUUCACCAGCGGCUUUGCAACAGCUGUUUCGCAGCAUGUCGGAGACAAUGCCUACGAAAUUAUUGGCCCUGAUCAUGAGAGCCCUCAAGGGGCAAACAACAUCUGUGUUGCAGAAGUGAGCCCGGUACCACUUGGAAGUUACCAUGACAGAUGACACGGCAGCAAUAGAUACAGAGACUGCCACGUCUACUGCAGCUGCAACAGUGUACGAGGCAAGCAGCAGCGCGUCAGCAGCAGUGUCAGAAGGAACCACACCAGGCCUGGUAGAGCAACAUGUGUGCUAUCACUGACUUUUUUUGUAGUGGAUACAACUCAUUUGCUCAACAUACAAAAGCUUUUCACCACGACUGUGAGCCAGUGUUAUUGUGCAGCAAGUGCAAGACUAAGUUAAGUGUUAUAGCACAGUACAAGCAUCACUUUAACAUAUGAAAACAUAUUACAGUUGUUGCCUCCCCAGCCAGCCCACAUAGCCACAACAAUGUUGAACACAUGGUGGGACACACAUCUUCUCCAUUAGAAGAUAGUAGAGACUGUCAGUGUUGUUGUUAGAUUAACUGGUCUUUGUAGGCAACUAGGACAACACAGGUGUCAUAAGAUUGUUGUUGAUGUUGUUGUUGAAGAGGUAAAAAAGAAGUUUGAUGCAGCUGAAGUGCCAACUGAUAUUGAGCAAAUCAAAAGCAGCCACCUGAGAAAGCAACACUAUCAAAAUUUGGGUAUCUAUGUGCCGCCAACUCUGGUAAGAAUGGCAUAGGACAGAAGUGUGAUGAAAAUCACACAGACACUGCUGUUGCAUCACUGGCCACAGUGAGCAGCGACUUGUAGGGCAAGAGAGUCAACUGAAACUAACAUUAUGAUAUAGUGUCAUGCUCCCAUGUGACCACUUUUCAAGUUAUUUUGCAAGAUACAGCUCAACCUCCAGAAACAAGACUGCAAGUUGUCUGUAAAAAAGCUUUCACAAAAAAUUAUUCAUAACACCAUUAACAUAGCAGUAUCUUUUUUUUGUGUCGGUUCGAGGUUCCCGGCUGUCCAUUAAUGCAAAAAUUGAAAAAAAGAACAUGUGUUGUACUUACACCUUUUUAACAAGUACGAGGGGGACAGAACUUUUCUAGUCAUGCAUCUUCAUCAUACUAUCAAGUUUUUAAAUGCCUUUUAUAAUUAUUAUUACCAGUUAUAUCUGAGUGCAUUGUAUGCAUGUAGCAGGUGUAAAAUCAGGUCAGUUGGAUCAGAUGCCUUAUCUGCAAGCGAGCCCUAUAUUCAAGAAAUUUGAAUUAAAAUAGUUACGUUAGAGACGCAGUCUUUCAGCACUUUAUUGCCUGUGGUUUAAGCAUUGCUCAAUACUUUUGUGGGUAGCAAUUUCAACCGGCACAGCACUGCGCUUUGCCACAGUCACAUUUGUCUUCAAAGCGGUGUUUACCAUUUGUGUUGAUCUGUUUGUGUAUGCAUAGAGCAAGUUUUUAAUUUAUAUUUUUCUGCAUUCUUGUGCUUGCACUAAGCUUGUAUAAGGCAGUUACAAAAUGUGCGGCACUAUAACGAACUGUUCUGUUGAGCUUACACUUGCAAAUAAUCGUGUUCAGAUGGCCGCACUUCUAUGCGGGUGCACCGCUAGCUUUGUGUAUGUUCUCAUGUUUGUAUAAAGCUUAUAUAAGCUAGUUAGAAAAUGUAUGUCACUAAGCAUUGUGAUAUUCUUUAAAGAACUGCUUGGUUGGUUUUACACUUGUGAAUUAGUAUUGAGGCGGUGGUAUUCCCAUGUAUGCCCACUGCUAGCUUUCUGUGUCCUCACGUGUUUGUAUUAAGUUUCUACAAGGGAGUUACAGCAUGUACGUCACUAAGCGCUGUGAUAUUUUUUAAAGAACUGCUUUGUUGGUUUUACACCUGUGAGUAAUAGUACUCGUGUGGCACUAGUCAUGUGUAGGUACACAGGGACCAUUUGUAUACAUUAUGCUCAUGUAAAGCAGUUACAAAGUGUAUGUCACUAAUUACUGUGAUAUUUGUUGAAUUGCUGUGAUGGUUUUACACAUGUGAAUAAUAGUGGUCAGGACACAGUACUUGCGGUGUAUAGUUGAAUUUAUACACUGCCAAGACAUGGGCUGUAUACGUACCAAAAGAAAUGUAUGUCAUUAUAUUGUUGUGAUUAUUACUGUUUGGAUUUUAUUAAACUGUAAUAAAGUUGUUUCUUGUAUC